This 1179-nucleotide long non-coding RNA is filed under the name Prunus persica (peach). RNAcentral describes it as "long non-coding RNA (PPER_LNC007198)". Lineage: Eukaryota; Viridiplantae; Streptophyta; Magnoliopsida; Rosales; Rosaceae. The record is from RNAcentral.
UGUCGAUUAAUGGAGGAAUUAGUGUAUUGAAAGUCGUUUAUCACCCCAGACAAGGCAUGGUGUAGCCCAUGCUUUGGCUAAAUUUUGGUCGUGCUAGAUGCAAGGACGGACUCACAGUGGGGUCACUGGGGCCAAACGACCUCAUGGAAGCCAUGGAAAUAGGCUUGAAGGUCCACCUGAGCUAACUGUGCUUAGGAGGAAGCUGCACGCAUGAGGAAGAAGAAGUAGCACAGCGUGUUUUUGUUUUUUUGUUUUUAAAGCACCCUUGGCAAAAACAACGUCGUUUUUGCCCAUGCAAUUUUUUUUUAUAAAAAAAAUAACCUUCCAUAUCCCUCCACUCUCCCACCCGACCCAGCCAAUCUUCCCGCCCACCCCAAAAACCCUUAAACCCCAUCUCCCAAUUUCUAUUAUUAUCUUUUCAAACCCUAACCCCAAGCUCCCCAAUCCCCACCUGUUGUAGUGCCGUCGAUGUAUUGCCACUGUCGUCGGAGUUGUCCACUACAUGUUGUGGCGCCACUAUUAUUGUGAUAUUUCUCAUUUCAAGUAAGUUCUAAAUCCUAAUAUCAAAAUAAGGAUGAUGUAUGCUGUUUUUAAUUUAAUGAAAAUUAAAUUUAUAAUUGUUUGGAUGAAAUUUAUGAUUUACAUGUAUUGGGUUGAUUAAUUGGAUGAAGUUUUUGCUGAUUUGUUGAUUAGGUGGUUGUGGUUUUUUGCUUAAUUGGCAUAAGUUUGAUUUACAUAUUGAAAUCACUAAAAAACAUACAUUAAAAAAAAUGACAAAUUGAAAUUAUUCAAAGUAUAUUUGUCCCAGAAAGGAAUAAAAUUUAGAAGAGAAAAAAUAGAUAAGAAAAAUAACCCUAUAACCGUACGACGUUUGAAUCUUAGGUCUGUCACUGACUAGAGGAAGCUCUUCGUAUGAGAGAGGAUGCACCGUUGCCGUGGUUAGCGCUAUUAUUAAAAAAGGACAUGAACGGGGAUGUUAAUUGCUUUUAUGGGUAGUGAAGAAAUGUGGUUUUUUUUUUUCCCUUAUCGACUUACCUGUUGACGAGUCAUUACUUAGUUAGGAUUUUGGUUCCUUAUUUCAUUAGAAUUUUAGUUACUUACCAAUUAUUAUUUAGUCCUAUUGUAAUAGAGAUUUACUUCCUAUUGUAAUUUAGAUAUAUUUCUUAUUUUAUUUAGGGC